GACGAACGCUGGCGGCGUGCUUAACACAUGCAAGUCGAACGGAAAGGCCCUGCUUUUGUGGGGUGCUCGAGUGGCGAACGGGUGAGUAACACGUGAGUAACCUGCCCUUGUCUUUGGGGUAACUUCAGGAAACUGGGGCUAAUAUCGGAUAGGAGCUCCUGCUGCAUGGUGGGGGUUGGAAAGUUUCGGCGGUUGGGGAUGGACUCGCGGCUUAUCAGCUUGUUGGGGGGGUAGUGGCUUACGAAGGCUGUGACGGGUAGCCGGCCUGAGAGGGUGACCGGGCACAAUGGGACUGAGAUACGGCCCAGACUGCUACGGGAGGCAGCAGGGGGGAAUAUUGCACAAUGGGCGGAAGUCUGAUGCAGCAAUGCCGCGUGCGGGAUGACGGCCUUCGGGGUGUAAACCGCUGUCGAAGGUGACGAGGCGGGAGUGACGGUAAUGGGUAAAGAAGCACCGGCUAACUACGUG
Molecule: ribosomal RNA, 468 nt
Filed under: uncultured bacterium
Lineage: Bacteria
Description: partial 16S ribosomal RNA
Rfam family: Bacterial small subunit ribosomal RNA
Source: RNAcentral